Molecule: small nuclear RNA, 153 nt
Filed under: Tupaia belangeri chinensis (Chinese tree shrew)
Lineage: Eukaryota; Metazoa; Chordata; Mammalia; Scandentia; Tupaiidae
Description: Tupaia chinensis (Chinese tree shrew) U1 spliceosomal RNA
Rfam family: U1 spliceosomal RNA
About the family: U1 is a small nuclear RNA (snRNA) component of the spliceosome (involved in pre-mRNA splicing). Its 5' end forms complementary base pairs with the 5' splice junction, thus defining the 5' donor site of an intron. There are significant differences in sequence and secondary structure between metazoan and yeast U1 snRNAs, the latter being much longer (568 nucleotides as compared to 164 nucleotides in human).
Source: Rfam by way of RNAcentral
AUACUUACCUGGCAGGGGAGAUACCAUGAUCAUGAAGGUGGUUUUCCCAGGGCGAGGCUUAUCCAUUGCACUCCGGAUGUGCUGACCCCUGCAUGUGGGAAACUCAACUGCAUAACUCAUGGUAGUGGGGGACUACGUUCACGCUCUCCCCUG